Molecule: ribosomal RNA, 98 nt
Filed under: Verticillium albo-atrum
Lineage: Eukaryota; Fungi; Ascomycota; Sordariomycetes; Glomerellales; Plectosphaerellaceae
Also listed under: 1 other name
Description: partial 18S ribosomal RNA
Rfam family: Eukaryotic small subunit ribosomal RNA
Source: RNAcentral
UACCUGGUUGAUUCUGCCAGUAGUCAUAUGCUUGUCUCAAAGAUUAAGCCAUGCAUGUCUAAGUAUAAGCAAUUACAAAGCGAAACUGCGAAUGGCUC